This 484-nucleotide ribosomal RNA is filed under the name uncultured bacterium. RNAcentral's name for it is "partial 16S ribosomal RNA". It matches the Rfam family "Bacterial small subunit ribosomal RNA", at positions 30 to 507 of the family's 1533-position model. The record is from RNAcentral.
AUUGAACGCUGGCGGCAGGCCUAACACAUGCAAGUCGAGCGGAUGAAGGGAGCUUGCUCCUGGAUUCAGCGGCGGACGGGUGAGUAAUGCCUAGGAAUCUGCCUUGUAGUGGGGGAUAACGUCCGGAAACGGGCGCUAAUACCGCAUACGUCCUGAGGGAGAAAGUGGGGGAUCUUCGGACCUCACGCUAUCAGAUGAGCCUAGGUCGGAUUAGCUAGUUGGUGGGGUAAAGGCCUACCAAGGCGACGAUCCGUAACUGGUCUGAGAGGAUGAUCAGUCACACUGGAACUGAGACACGGUCCAGACUCCUACGGGAGGCAGCAGUGGGGAAUAUUGGACAAAGGGCGAAAGCCUGAUCCAGCCAUGCCGCGUGUGUGAAGAAGGUCUUCGGAUUGUAAAGCACUUUAAGUUGGGAGGAAGGGCAGUAAGUUAAUACCUUGCUGUUUUGACGUUACCAACAGAAUAAGCACCGGCUAACUUCGUG